This 433-nucleotide ribosomal RNA is filed under the name uncultured bacterium. Its description in RNAcentral is "partial 16S ribosomal RNA". It matches the Rfam family "Bacterial small subunit ribosomal RNA", at positions 29 to 507 of the family's 1533-position model. The record is from RNAcentral.
AACGAACGCUGGCGGCAUGCCUAACACAUGCAAGUCGAACGAGACCUUCGGGUCUAGUGGCGCACGGGUGCGUAACGCGUGGGAACCUGCCUUUAGGUUCGGAAUAACUCCCCGAAAGGGGUGCUAAUACCGGAUAAUGUCUUCGGACCAAAGAUUUAUCGCCUUUGGAUGGGCCCGCGUUGGAUUAGCUAGUUGGUAGGGUAAAAGCCUACCAAGGCGACGAUCCAUAGCUGGUCUGAGAGGAUGAUCAGCCACACUGGGACUGAGACACGGCCCAGACUCCUACGGGAAGCAGCAGUGGGGAAUAUUGGACAAUGGGCGAAAGCCUGAUCCAGCAAUGCCGCGUGAGUGAUGAAGGCCUUAGGGUUGUAAAGCUCUUUUACCCGGGAUGAUAAUGACAGUACCGGGAGAAUAAGCUCCGGCUAACUCCGUG